Aphidius gifuensis is the source of this 138-nucleotide long non-coding RNA. RefSeq lists it as uncharacterized. NCBI's taxonomy places the organism in Eukaryota, Metazoa, Arthropoda, Insecta, Hymenoptera, Braconidae. The transcript has 3 exons. The record is from RefSeq and is a predicted model, not a curated record.
UGCAACGAAAGUAACGGUAUGAAGUUCCAUGAAAGAUUCAAGAGACAAAGGCUGUAACAUGUCAGAUUACGAGGCUGAAAUUGGCUCAAUAUUCAAUAAUAUUGAAAGCUUGAGUCAUCUAAAGUUGAUAUAUCGGGA